AUCGGAUCUUCCUUUGUGGGAGUGCUAGCUCGCGUCGAAGGCUCUGGAUGGCUGAUCUAAGCUCCUUUCUUUAGAUCUUCCAGACUCUUUCGAAUCAGAAGAUAAAAUUUUAUGAGGAGAUGGUGGUGUGGAAGAUUGGACAAGACUCACUCUUGUAUUUUCUUCUCAUAAAAUCUAAAGUUGAAAUCCUAAAACCCACAGCUCACGCCC
Molecule: long non-coding RNA, 210 nt
Filed under: Elaeis guineensis (African oil palm)
Lineage: Eukaryota; Viridiplantae; Streptophyta; Magnoliopsida; Arecales; Arecaceae
Description: long non-coding RNA (EGUI_LNC012934)
Source: RNAcentral